AUAAUUCUCUAAAGAUACAAGCAGCUAUUUGGCUCAACUGAGCCGGAAGACUUCCCAAUGGCGUUAAUGCAUGACGAAUGAGCCGGCUCAUUUUUAUAGGUCAGCCUAACAUCUUCCAAGGUAAUCCUCUGGUUGCAUUGACAUAAAAAGUGUCUGAAAUCUCCAAUAAAUUUGUAUCUAUAUUGCUAAUCUGAAGCAUAAAAAUAAUCUCAUUAAUUAUAAGUGGCAGCUAAAUAAGCUGAAAACAAACUGAAAAAAAGCCAUUUAUUUACACCUGCCAUUGAUAGGCUUUUAACACUGCAGGGUUCACCCAUUCCAUAAAGAUCUUUCCAUUCAUUAGACUACAGAUUAGUGCAAACUGAAAAGUGAUCCCCCUGUUAAUGAGCAAUUUGUUUCGAAUAUAAGAAAUUAUCAAUAUGUUCAACUAAUCUUAGAAAAAAGUAAAAGUUACUUUGUGAAUUACUUACUUUUUUAGUAAAAAGGUUUUUAAAUUUUCUAAGUAUCUAAAUGAAAAAUUUGACGUGAUAGUUUGGACAUUUAUCGACUAGAUUGUCACGUCAUUUUUUUCGAUAGUCAAACUAACACACAUGAAAACUCGAUUGGAAUAAUGUUUAAUGUCAGUGACUAAAUAGUGUUAAAUGUCCAUGAUCAUGAAAGUGAUAUAGUAUCAAGAGCGUGUUAGAACUUUUAAAAAGUUAUAAGUAAUAAGAAAGUUUUAAGAUAGGCAAGUUUUGAAAAGAAGUAAGAAACAAAUUCCAAAACAAGUAAUGUUAAAACCUUGGAAAAUGGCUCUCCAUCAACUAUAAGAUCCAUCAAUUGGACGGCUGUGAUGGCCCCUGUUACCAUGCCGAUCCCGAUUCCAUGCAGUAGACCGGUUUCUGUAGUCUUCACCCUCACCCCAUUUUAAGUUCCUGUAAAUGUAGCUGAUUUAACUGUCACAUUUUGCACUCCGGGGUCUUGCAAAUCCCAGCCUAGACUCCCAAUGCUGGGGAAAAGGAGCACAAAUUAGUUAACUCAGCUUAAUAAAUUGUUGGGAUACAUUAUGUCAUACUUCCUCUAUUACAAAAAAUAGAAUUGCUUUCCUUUUUCGUCUGUCUCAAAAUAUUGGUCACUUUCCUUGUUGAUAUUAUAAUUAAUUUCUUAGUUUUCUAAUAUACUCCUAUUUGACGUGUUAUCUUAUGAAAAAAUAUGAAUUAUUCUUAUUUAAACCAUUAUUUAAUGUAGAAAUAUGUUAGGAAAAAAUAUAAGAAAAAUUUAUAUUUUCAACUAUUUUACUUACAUGUUUCUUAAUUCAUGUGAAAAUAUAAAUAUGUUUAUCUUUGUGGGACGUAAGGAGUACGAUUACAUCUAUUUUAAUGAAGAUUGUGUAAUUGAAAAUGAAUACUGUAGAAAAAUUAUGUGGUAAAAUGGUUGACAAACAAAAGCUAUAUCUAUUGUGGCUGUCAAUUUUUAAUUUACGUUUUUAGUACCUGAUUCCAUGGCCAGGGCCGCAUGCAAUGGUCUCAAUCCACAAGUUCGAGGUGCCGAGGCCUAUAGAGACACAAUCAUCUAGGGUGACAAUCCGAGAGUUCAUAAUUGUGACUCCUGUUGAUUUCUCCACGUGAAUUCCGUCAGUGUUUGGGCUGUUGCCUGGUGCAGAAACCUUUAUUCCCACUAGCUUGGUAUUGUGGCAUCCAUCAACAAGAAUGUUGAACUUCUGGCUAUUUAUUGAAGACAAUCAAUUCAUUAUGAUGUUGUUGGAAUUGUAGAAGGCCAGUGUCUGAGCAAGAAAGAAUCGAAAAAUUACGUUUGAAUGUACAAGAUGAUAUAAAGUAAAAUCCACUUUCUUCUUUAUUAACAUACCGUUGCUCCGGUUGGACAACUCUUGCCGGAAUUUUUGCUAGCCCACAAAUUAGUCCCUUGGCCAUCUGGGGUUCCACCAAUAACAGAAACUCCAGUCACACUUUCGAACUUGAUCCAGUUACCAGAAUUUCCAAUAACUUUAAAAUCAGAUGGAGCUACUAGUGUCCUAUCAAUUUGAAUCGUUAUAGCAGUGUUUUUCCAUGACUUGCCAACAAAAGUUGUAGCUCCAAGCAUCUUCCCGGUGGCACGUAAAUGGUGGCCGGCUGUGUAGUAGCACAUGCUGAGGUCCAUGCACUCAAGAAUGCCUUGGUACAAUCAGUUUUUCCACCAGAUUUUGCUCCCAAACUUUGGACAGUGGCGGAUACAGACAUUUUACAUUAGGCGGUCACAAUCAAAUUUUAAAAAAAAAGCGACGAAAUUUUUUUUAUUACUUUAUAUGGGUUAUAAACUGUACUUUUUUAUCUAGAUUAUUUUUAUAUAAAAAAAAUUUUGAUCAUUUUUAGGAUUUUUUUUUUAUUAUUGUUACUUUUUCCUCUCAAUCUAUUAAUUUUUUUUUUAAAAAAAUAAUCUAAUAAAUUUCCUAAUAAAAAUUUUGACGUCAUUUGAAAAAAAAUAAUUGAUCGAGGAAAAUGUAACAAUAAUAAAAAAAAAUCCUAAAAAUGAUUUAAUUUUUUUCAGAUAUAAAAAUAAUUAAGAUGAAAAAGUAAUAUAACAAUUUAUAACACCUAUGAAGUAAUAAAAAUUUUAUUAAAAAUUUUUACGUCCAAAAAUAAAUAAAAUUUGACGUCAUACCACAUAAAAAAUUUCCUAAUAAAAUGAUGUAAACUAUAUUGAGAAAUUUUUCACGCAAAAAUAAUAAACAUUAAUAAAAUAAUUGAUUUUUUUUUCAAAAAAAAACAAGUUAUACGUCUUUUUUUAGUAUACACGUUUGACGUACGUUUAACUAUUCUCGAUAUUCAUUUAGAUCAUUCGAUGUGUUUAUAAUAUAAUUCUCGAAAUGAGCUUCAAGAGGAUAUAGAAGAUUUAUAGAUAUGACUAGCGUAUAAACGUCGAAAAUUUUUUAAAGUUAGCUUGUUAUCAAAUUUCUGGAAAUAUUAGUUUGAAACUGCCUAUUUUGACGCAUCAUAACAUUUGCUACGAUUGGCCAUUUCGCACAACAUUAACGACAUAAAAAUACUAGCUUGUGAGUACUUCAAAAUGAUAUUAAGAAUAUAAUAUUUCAAUUUCGUUUGAUAUUUCAUUGUGAGCCCGAAAACUAAGAUGACGACGAAAAAAAAAUGGAAAUUGGAGGGUCAAGUGACCCUUGGGUCUGCCCCUGACUUUGGACAUUGUAAUUAGCAUUGGCUGCAAUUGAUGAGUAGUGGAAGAAGGUCCACAGGAAAUAUUGGAAAGCAAGGAAAAAUCUUAAAGCUCCAGCCUUUUUUUUUUUUUUUCGUCGUUUGUAUUUGUGUGUUAUAGAGAGAGAGAGAGAGAAAGAGUGGAUGAGGAGAUGAAGCAGUUAUAAGAGGUAUUUAUAGGCUAUAAGUUGAGUGCAAAUUUGGCCGAAGUUGGAUUUUUGGAGAUUAGAGAAAAUUUGUUUGGACAAAUAAGAAUUUCAAGUUAUUUAGUGCAAUAAGAAAAUAUAUAUUUUUUAGUAAAAAAUUACAUGAUCCAUCUAGAAUAGUUUAGUUUAUUUAUUAAUUUGUUUAGGAGUCAUCACCCAUAUCCCUGAAUUUAUUGUUGGUUAUUUUGAUUGUUUGAGCUAAGUAACCAUUGUUUCAUUUAUUUAAUUUGUGAAAUUUGAUUUUUCAAAAAUAUGAUAUCGUGUAACACUCAAACCAACAUAGACCCUAGGGAAAGCACGAUGAAUAAGAUUAUCAAACCGUCACACACAGUGCCUUUUACAGUCAACAGAAAAAUUUGGGGAGUACCUUUUUACUUUUCUUCUCUAGGGUUUUUGUGCUUAUUUAUGCAAAUAUGACAUUAAAGAAAAUGUCAAUUUUAAGUUUGGGGGUAAAAUAACUUUUAGUUCUUGUUUUUCAUAUGUUUUUGUAUGUUUGUUUAAAUAUAAAAAAAGAAAAAUUUAAAGAAUUUUUUUUUUAAAAUCUCUUUUGUUUAGUAGUGUGCUUGUGUGGGUUAGACAAUCUGGCAGACAAUGAUGAUUUAAUUUGAGAUUUGGUGUUAAUUUAUGAACUUGUGAAUAGGAUGCAUGCUAGACUAAUUAAAGCUCAAUCAUGCAAAACUUGAUAUUACAAGCGUAAUAGAAUUGAAUUUGACAUUGUGAUUAAAUGAGUGGUUUAUUGCUUUUGAUAGGUUGGUCUAGUUGGACAUAGAUAUUUUACCUAAACCAUAUUAAACUAUCUACCCUUAGACCAAAUUUAGCUCAGUUUGAGGGUGAUUUUACUGUUGUAGGAAGAUGCGGUUGUGAAUGUGAAUUCCAUCUGUGAAAACUUAUGUAUGGAUUGUCUUACACUAACAUGAUAAAACUCUGCGAAAGUCUUAAGUUUGAGGUCGAUUUGUAUGAAUAAGUGUGUAAUAAGGGGCAUUGCAUUAAUCAAGACAUAUACAUUUGAAAAUUUUGAACUUCUCUCUGAAGCUUUUAUGACUUGAGUGAUUAAGUCUGCAAGUGUAUCUUAAAAUCUGGUGCUCUAAAGUCGUCUAAUUUGGGAGUCAUCGACCUAAAGCUUGCUACAGGGGUCAUUUAGAAAUCUUAAUGGAGAUGAAGUUGCACUUGUAAAAAAAAUAAAUAAAUAAAUAAAUCUCUUCGACGCCUUUUUUACUCAGGUCAAUAAGCCUGUACGGGUGUUUAAAACUUGGUGCCCUAAAAUCAUCUGAUUUGGGAGUUAUCGGCCUAAAGUCUGCUAUAGGGUCAUCUAGAAAGUUUAAUGGAGAGAAUGUAAAAAAUCAAAAAUAAAAAUAAAAUAACUUGUGAAAAACCAAAAAAAGAGCUUGUGCAUGAAAAGAGUAAAGCACUAAAUACCUUGGUUAAGCCCCUAACACUUAUUUAAGGAAAUUUGACCUUCGAUGAAGGAUAUUAGCCUAGUUGAGUUUUGGAGGUCGAACCAAUCAAAUAAUUGGAGAAUCCUUGUUCAUUGAAGUAUUGACUUGCAACUCUUAACAUCCACCUGAACUUGAGAGGGUGAGGAAAGUAAUGAAAUAUUAAACCUUAAGUUACACACUGAAAAGAGUGAAAAAAAUAAGUUUGGGGAUGUGUGAAUCUUACGAGUGAUGAAAGGACAUAUAUGAUCAUUAAGGGUUUGGAAUUGGAAUAACUUGUGAAUUCAUUAAUGUCUACUUAAUUCUUCACACACAGGUCGAUUUUGCACUGGAAGAGUGGACAUUGGUUUUGUAUCGUGACUUUGAAGCAUGUUUAUGGAAUUAACACUUAGAUCUUGAAUCUUGAGGUGAGAAACUCAAUUUUCCAACCAAAUAUUUUUCCAUAACUGUGUGUUUACUGCUAUUUAGUUUAUAGUUUUGUUUGAGGACAAACAAAUAUUUAAGUUUGGGGGAUUUGAUAAGUGUAUUUUUUACACUUAUUCGGUACCUUAAAUCGACAUUAAGUUUUUGGCACUGUUGCCAGGGAUAGGAGCCAAAGAUAAUUUAUUCUUUGAUGGUCCCCCUCCUCCCUCGAUCAUACGAUAGGUUGAUAUUCCUGGCGAAUCCGGUUUCGUUUAAUCAGAUUCUCCUCUCCUUUGGUUCUAUCUUUGAUAAAUGUAUUUUUUACACUUGUUUGAUAACUUAAAUAGUGAUAUUUGAUAGUUCGUUUGACAAAUUAUAUUUUAAAUUUUUAAAUUUUAUGUUUAAUAGGUGAAAUUUUAUGAAUGAAAAGGAAUUGAAGGAAAGAAGCAAAAAUGGGCGAAAAAUGACAAAAUCCAAAGUAGGGUUACUGAAUUGGCAACUGGAUGAAUCGAAGGAGUCAUUGGUUGCAUAAUUAAUUGGGAAAGGAGUGAAUUGGAUGACUUUAAAAUAAUUGAGGACUUGGAGAGAAAUAAGAUAUAAAUGGGCCUAAACUUGAAUUUACUCAGGCUGCACUUCAAGCGCAAUCGAAAUACAUAUGGAACUUUAACAAUUCAACAAUAGAUGGCAGAUUUGGACUUCUGGACCAUGAAGACACGCAUAAAUUAAAGUCCCCCUUGGAGUUAAUCAGUGGCUGCUAGGUUAUAUUUAUAUAGAGACAGACAAGAACGAGAAAGGAGGAGGAGACACGCACGGAAAUUGAGAGGUAGCAUAUUUUAUAUUUUUCACACUUUGAGGCUGCCUAUAUUUCCACGCACAGAAAACGGAGGGCCAGCCAAUAUUAUAGAAUUUAGCCACGUAUUUGAGGGCUGACUUAGUAUUGAAAUUAAUUUGUGGCAGCCAAUAUUAUAAAAUAUUAUAGAAUUUAGCCACAUAUUUGAGGGCUGACUUACUAUUGAAACUAAUUUGUGGCAGCCAAUAUUAUAGAAUUUAACCACAUAUUUGAGGGCUGACUUACUAGUUACUAUUGAAAUUAAUCUGUGGCGGCUGAAGGAAAGAAGUUGUUGGCUGCCAUUAAUAUAGAGAUAGAAGCUGUCGAGUGCAACGAUAAUACACGGAAAUUGAGGCAGAUUUUUGGAGAGAUACAUUAAAAAAGGGCAGCAGCUGGGGAAAGGAUUUACACAAAAGCAGCAAAGACGACAUAAGGCAUAAUUGGAAAUUAUUUACGUUCUAUCAACUUCCGAUGAUGUCUUCCAUAAUUUUUUUUUUUCCAUUAAUAUGAGCAGUUAAAUUUUAUUUUAGGAUGAACAAUGUAACUGACUUGGGAAUCCUUUUUUUUUUUUUUUUUUAGUUUUUUUUUUUUUUUUUUUUUAAAAAUUUUUUUUUUUUUUAGUUUUUUUUUUUUUUUUUUUCUUUUUUUUUUUUUUUUUUAGAUUUUUGUUCUUUUAUAUUUUAUGUGUGGAUUUUAAAUAUGUUAUCAAUACUUUGAAUUUUUUGGCCAAUUAUUCGAUGAUUUCGUGAACAAUAAUUAUGUAGAGAUGCAGAUUCUUGUUUAGACCACAUAUUAAAAUCUAAUCAAUUAAUAUAACGUAUAGAGAUAUUUAUAUUAAUUACUGUGGUCCUAUAGACAUUCUUAAAACUAUUAUUUCGCUUAAAUAAUGUUGAUUUGCAUAGAGAUAUGAAAUUGAAUGAUGUAGAUAGGCUCAAUGAGGACUCGAGAUGGAUAAAUUACCAUAGAACAAUUUGAUCAAACGCUACUUUAAUUUUAUGAAUCUCGAUAUUAGAAGUAAAGGUGACCAAUGGGUGAAUUUGUUCCACCCUAAUCUCCAUUUACUAAUUGAAUUCUCAUUCAUUUUCUAUUGCAUUCACGAAAUUUUUAGUAGUUAGAUUUAAAAAUCACAUUCAAUCAUUUUUUUUUUAUCAAAUAGAAGUUAUGAAUAAUAAAUUGAGUACUAAAGUAUAUUCCUCUUAGGAACAAUAAUCCGGACUCAAAAGGUCAACUUUACUAGUUACGAUCCGUCCACUUGCGGGAUAAAAUUGAUAAUAAGUUUUUGAUGCCGUUGCCAGGGAUAGGAGCCAAGGAUAAUUUAUUCUUUGAUGGUUCCCCCUCCUCCCUCGAUCGUACGAUAGGUCAAUAUUCCUGGCGCAUCUGGUUUCAUUUAAUCAGAUUCUCCUCUCCUUUGGUUCUGUCUUCCACCAUCUUUCCGGCUUGACUAAUGUUGUCUAGACCAAAUAAGUUUGACAUUUUAAGAUGGAACCUCGAUAUUUAGAAGUUGUUGAGAUAUUGCUGAAGAUCAGUUCAUUAAAUAUGUUAACAUGGAAAAGGUGUAAAGAUUUGCCAUAUUAUCCCUUUUUAUGUAAGACUGUUGAAGAUCGAACAUAGUGCAGUGGGACAUGGUUUUACAUAUCGUAAAAAUAUGAAAGUUAUGUCCAGUGACCUAAAACUAUGAUGAUAAUUAUGCAUAUAUUUAUCAAUUACAGAAACCACACUUAAUAGAAAAACAAAAUUUUCUUUUAUAUCCAAUUUCAGUAGCGAUAGGGUCAUAAUCAAUGUAAAAUACAUCUUCAUCCUAAUACACAUUUUCUUGAGGAUUUCACUCUAAUGGCGCAUUUCAUCUGAUCAGGAAUGUAUCGAAAAUUUAACAAGUUAACAUUUAUUAACUUGGACAUUAGUACAUAUUGUUUUAAAGGAAUGCAGAGGAAAAAGUUCUCACUGAAUUUAUAAAAAUAAAAAAAAUAAAAAUUAAUUAAUUUAUUGUUCAUUUAUUGACGUUUUAAUCGGAAUUGAAAAAUGAUGGAUCUAAUAGAGUGAAAUUUCAACUACUGAUGAAACAGAUAACAAAAUAGGUUGAAAAUAAAGAAGACUAAGAGUAUUUGUAAAAUAAAUUAGUGAAUUAGGCAACUUUUCUCGUCGGAAAUUAAUCUUCAAUUUGAACUAUGUACAGAAAGAAUGGCAUGUGGAUCGUGCAAUUAAUUACCAUCUUAAUUUUAUCUCUAUUCAUCAUUAGUUCGUUGGCUAUUGUUGGGGGGUCAAAUUUUAGGCAAUAAAAUUUCGUCCAAAAUGUGGUGUGUAACGUGUGGUUAAUUGCAUUUAUUUUUCAUCCAAAUUCCUACUUUGAGUGUUUGAUUGCAAUUUUUUUUAUUGAAAAUAUUUUUCGACUUUUGAAAAUAUGUCUAAUAUUUCUUGUUUUUAAGAAAAUAUUUUCUUUGGAGUAAGUAGGUUUUUGUUUUUCUCAAAAUAGGGAAAACAUUUUUUUUUCUAGGCAAUAUUUUUCAUGUCAAUUAAAUUACACUCAAAUUUCUUUAUGUAAUAAAGGAAAGCAAAAAAUUAUGAAAGGAACAUAAUUUAUAAAUGAACCCACGAAGCACGCGAAAAUACUUCCCAACUUUUAUAUUCGCAAUAAUAGAACAAUCACAAACUUGACAACGGAUCAAAAAAAAUGCACUCUAUGCUUUUGUGUCUCAUGUCAUGAGUAUAUAUAAAAUUCGUUGGCCUGUUGAGGUACAUUUCGCGAUUUACCUCCCUCACGAUACUCUAGGAACGAGACGGUGGGGACUCUCAAAAUUGGGGUUCAACCUUUUAAGAAUCCAAAGUUUUCCAUCCCGAAAACUGUCACGGCCAAAUAGGUAACCAACUUUCCUGUAGAAAUUGCUUUGCACGCGUUAAUUGCUUGAAGUAUAACUGCUGAAAGUAACCGCCUCAGCGAACUUAGUCCAGCUAACUCCAAAGUUAUCUGCAAGCCAUUGUUAUAAAAAUCGAACCAGAACAGUCGAUUCAACCCAAAAAUCGAUGAACCGAACAAUGAUCCGCGGUCCGAUUGACAAUAAUUGGUGCAAUUACAAAUGAACUGGUCAAGAACUCCUCAAACCGGUUCAUUACUGCCUUCAGCGAUUUUCAUUGAAAACGGAAACCGAUUCGUAUUGAACCGAUUUUUUUAUUAUUAUUAUUAUCAAAUUAGUCAAAACUUUAGAGCAAAAGGAGAUAUUCGAACCUCUAUUUCCUUGCGUAAAAAGUUGGAACCAUGACCAUUAUGGCACCUAUAAAGUAUUACCGUGAGUGAAAAAUAUAUAAUUGCUUUUAGCACAGCAACAAAAAAUAAAAUUUAUAAUAUAUUUUUGCUUUAAAAAAUUAAAAUAAGAUCAACAAUGACCCACUAGUUAACCACUAAUCCAGUUAUUCGAUAAUUUUUUUGAUCAAGGACCAGGUCAGGUUUGCUAACUAUGCCACAAGCUGAUUUCCAGGUCUGAAUACAACGAAUCUGCUAGGCUGUGUUCAGCCGAAGGCCAACCCCGCUAACUGCCUUACACUUCGGGCUCCACCCAUGCCAUGCUUCAUCCAUGCAUUAUCAAUCCAAUCAUUCCUGAAUGAUUAUCGACAAUAAUACCUUACAUAGAAUAUUCCUAGAAAUGUACUUUAUCCAAAAUAUCCCGAGUAUGGCAUCAACAUGGGAGCAAGGCACCACUCAUGCCUUAGCCGUUUCAGCACUUGUGACCAUCAAGGAAGUGACAACUAUCCAUUCCUAUAUAUUUCUCGUACCCUGUAUGUUUAAAUCUAAUUAAUUCUGUAAUUUUGAUGUAUUUUAAAAAGAAUUUACUAAGGACACCAAUUAUAAUUUGUGUUGAUUAAAGCACCAAAGCUUGGUCUAUAUUUUUAUGCCUCAAUCGAAAGUCAACGUAGUCCCCUAUCAUGUCAAUAGAUGAUAUUUCGGACUACGAGGAAGAAAGCCUUACCUUAGAACUUACAUCGAGAUGGAGAUGAAGAAUUAGGAGGUAAUUCUUUCCUUACAAAAUAUAUAUAAUAUUCAGUAUUUUGGUCAAUUUAAUUUAUUUUUGAAACUCUACUAAAUUGAUAAGCAAGAAAUUUGAGUUGUAAUUAUUAUUCUUGAACAAAUGUAAAUUUGUUCAAUAUCUUAACUAAUACAAGCAAGCCAACAGAUCUUUUGGAACAAGCAACUUAAUUUGUAUGCGAACAAACUGGCCAAUGAUUUAGCCACAUUAGAAUUUCUCGUAACUUGUCGCCAUACUUUACAUUUGUAACGAUGAUGCAAAUAGUAACAUGCACAAUAUCAUUUUUCCAUUAAAAAAAUUGUAUUCAGUACAUGAUUUGUGUAUUAAUGAAAUUCAUUUUUUAUCAGAAGUUUGAUAUAUAACACAAUGAAUAAUGGCGAGAUGAUUUAAAUUCAAACUUUUACCUUUUAUUAUAUUUAUUUAUUUAUUUAUGAAGUGCUAUGAUGAAAAACUCUCUAUAAUAUUGACUAUGUCAACCUUUAUAUCUUGUUAGUUGCGACACCCCACUCUAACACAAAUAUGAACUAAUAAUUAUUUCACUUUUGUAAAUGUGUACACAGUGUCCAUAAAAAAAUCUUCUUCAGAAUUUAAUAUCAAAUAAAAGAAAAUAUAUAAAGAUAGAUUUUCAGCUAUUAAAAUUUUUUGAUAAACCAAAAUUUUAGGCAAUCAACACUGUGUAUCACUUUUCUAAGCAACUUUACAUCAUCCACUCUCGGUGUCAGUCUCAAAAUCUUUGGGACUUUAGGACUUUAGGCCAACUUCAAAUAUAAGGCCCUUAUAUAUAUUUCAAAUAUAUAAUUAUAAACAAUAACACUUUUCAUUAAUAAAAAUAUUCAAAGUUACAAAAAUAAUGACCUAAAACUUUCAAACGUCUAAAUUAAAUUCACUUUUUUAGAAUUUUUUGAUGUGAUUACAGUCAAUAUGUUAUAAAAUUUCUUUUUCAAUAGACAUUAUAUCCAAUCCAGUCAAACUUUUUUUGUAACAUUGUAGAACAAUUGUAAGCUUUUAUCAACUCCAACAUUAAGAAGUUCCUCUCAGAAGAUGCAACUGCAACUGUAACUAUAACUGUAACUGUAACUGUAACUGUAACUGUAACUGAUAUAGUUAAUAAUAUGAUCUAUCAAUCCACACAUCUUGAGUUAUCAUCGGAGUACAAAUUUCAAAUAAAGAAUAUAUGAAAAAAAAUUGCAAAAUAUACUUGUUGAAAAAACUAAGAUAGAAGGAUGAUUCAUAAAUAUUAUUUUGUUAAAAAAUAGGGGGGGAAAGAAGGUAAAGAAAUCAAUAAACUUGUAUCAUUGAGAACUAAAACUCCAUAUUUAUAUAGAAGAAUUAGGACUACAAUGAAUAAUAGUCAUAAUAACUAGUGUUGCGAGGGUAUAAUGGUUAGUCAUUAAUAAAUAUAUAAUUUACAAUAUUCUCCUUUGGAUGACACAUUACAAAGUAUCUACCUCAUCAAAAAUAUUGUCAAUAAAACUCAAUAGGACAAAAUUUGAGCUCAAGAAAAGAGUACAAUUGCUCUCUUAAUUUCAAUAAAUGAAGAUUUUUGUAUCGAGUCAUUCAUGUUUAUAUGUCAAUAUAUUUAAUAUUGCAAUUCUGGUGAAACAUGUUUUUAUUGUCUUGUUAUAACUUUCAAGCAAUAUCUUCUUCAUAGAUGAUAUUUAUCAAUCUUUGUUUGUCUUUAGUCACACGAUAAUAUAUUGAAAAACAGAUUGUGUUGUUACUCUCUUCAAAAGUCAUAGACAAUUUGUAACAUAUAAGAGUAUAAUUUGAGGGUAUAUAUCAUGUAGGUUAUGAACAUCAUUACACAAGAAUAUGCCUCGUUAAAAACCUUAUUAGGAGAAGUCCUGUAGGAAAAAUCUUAAUAAGGAAAAAAGUGUGCAUUAUGCUUUUGAGUACAUUACAAAAGUUGUCUAUUUAAAAACCUUGUCAAAAAAUCGAUGGGAAAAAUCUUGAUCAAGGGAAAAAGAUUACAAUAUAUAUUUUCUCUCAUCAUGAUAAAACCACUUAAAUUAUAUGCUUCAGGUAAAUUUAAUAAUUCAAACAUAAAUUAAUUGUCAUGUCAGAUGAAUUAACUAUAAUUGCAUUUCAAAUUUCGUGCAUCGUCAGGGUGACAAGAUAUGGACUUAUAAUUGUAUCCACCAUUAUUUUGUAAGCUUUAUUAUGUUAAGAAUCAUACAUUAUAUGCUAUGACUUCAUUUUUCUGAUUUACCUUUUAGGUUUAGAUACUUCAAGUUUCUCUAACAAAUUUAAUUUGAUUAGGAUUAUGUCUUUUUAUUUAGCCAAUAAUUUUUUCGAUAGAUAUACUUUAAUAAAUUUAUUUCGAUAUCCUCGCUAUCAAUAAUAUGAAGCGAUACAUUACGUUAAAAUAUAUUGUCGACAAAUUUUUAUUUUAGAUUAUAUUUCUUUCUCAUAAUGACAUGCAUUAUUGAAAUAUCUCAAUUUUUAGCAUUUCAGGUACCUGAACCUCUUUUAGAGUUUUACAUUUUAUUUCAUAUCUAUAUACUCCUCCAAGAAUAUAUGUCUCCUUGAUGAACUAUCUAUGUUAAUUUCUCUAUUUUCUUUUUAAAAUUUUUAUAUCAGAAUCGAAUGUAAUGCUUUAUGCGUGUCAUAUAUACUUAUCAAAUAUAACAUUAAUUAAGUGUCCUUCAAUGACGUGAAUUUUGAGUUGGAGUAUUUAAAACUGGUAUGUGAGAUAUAUUUGACUCUUUGAUUAGUAAAUGUAUUUAAAUGAGAAAUCUUUUCGAAUUUUUUUUUUUAGGAUCCAGAUAAUAUAAUAAAGCAUAUAUACAUUAUUUUUAACCUCUUAAUUCAUCCUAAUAUUGAGAGAAUUGUUUAGUCAAACUGACAAUCAAUAGACAGUGUUAUAAAAUAUCACCCGCUAAAGUAUAAGAAAAUUCAUAAGGGUUCAAAAUACGUAUUUAUUUUCAGCAUUCUUUACCAUGCAUUGUGGUGGAUUAAUUGUACUUUGUACUAUAAAAAUAAUUUGUUGAAAAUACUACUUUCUGAUUUGAUCAUAAGUCAAAAUAGUGAGAAAAACUUUGGUGUUGGUACGAUGCUAAUAACAUUCUCUAAACAGAAGCGGGAAGUACUUUGUUCUCAUAGUAAUGAUUAAGAAAUAAAUUAGAGGGAUAACAAGCAAUAUUGCUAAACCAUAUUUAUCGACAUCACAGGUAAUAUUUAUUAAAAGAUUGAGAUUUAAGCUCACUAGUAUUAAUAAAACACAUUUUCUUUAUUGUAUAAUAUAAAAAUUAUACUCAUAAUUUAAAACUUGAACAGCAAUUUUGUAAACUUUAAGUUGCAAGCAUAGUGCAAUCAUUUAGUAUGUGUAUUAUAUUUAUUAAGUAUAAAUAAUAUUUAGAUGAUUAACAUGGAUAGUAACAACUCCCGUAUAACACCAUAAUUAAUUUUCUAGAUUAUAAGGAUUUAUACUAAAAUGUUUAAACCCUAACCUUAAGGGUCCCCCACCACCUCUGCCCUGGAGUAUCGUGAGGGAGGUAAAUCGCAGGUUAUGCCUCCAAGGGUAAAGGGUGGAAGGCUGCUUGUAUACUUGCACUUACCCAAGAGCCAAAUCCAUAUUUCAGGAUUCGAACCCUUGACGCAGCAGCCUCAAACAAAGCUGGAUUUCUCCACCCUUCCUUUUUACCACUUGGAGAUGUGCCCUGGGGGCAUAAGGAUUUAAUACUAACAUUAGGUUGUGAUGGUCAAUGACCAAUUUAUGAUAUAGAGAAUAAGCAUUAUAUGUAAAUUCGUUUGAUUAAGAAGCACCUUAUUCUCAUUAUAUAUUCAUUUGAAUUCUCAUUUUGUAUCAUUAUUGAUUCAGUAACGAUCUAACUAGAAACACUAACAAUAAAAUAUUAGGGUUAUUGAACUCAUGAUUCGAUAUAUUGUUUAUUUUAAUUGUAAUAAUAAAGCAUAGUAUAUUGUUGUGGUAAAAAUUAAUUUACUAGUCAAAGCGGCCCAAACCAUAAAAUAGUCCACAGGCAGUCCAGUUGCUCCAUCCUCGACCCAAGUUAUUAUAAGCUGAAGUGAAAAGCAUUAGAGGUAGUAGAUCAAAAUAAGGAAAUGACCUUAAGGAAAGAAGGAUGCCAUAUAGGAGGAAUGCAGCAGCUUACCGCCCUCAAUCCCUGGUGCUCGGCCAGGUUGUCUCUGAACCUAUGACAGCUUCCCCCGAUCCCAACAAUCUGGGCCAAGACCCACAUGUUAGUUCGAAAUCUCCAAUAAUUUAUCUUCAAGAUAAAUCACGUUAUGACUUAUCUAAAUCUGGUAAGAGUUAUUUGCAAAUGGCUCUAAUAUCUCAAUUGAACAGAUCGGAUUAGAUUUAGCUUCAACCAACUAUGAAAUCUUAGAGAAUCCCCUCCAAUCCCGCUUAAACGGUUAUCCCACUCCUAUAAAUUUUGCGGUCGAUCAAGCAUUCAGGUAUUUCAAUCCACUCUACUCUAAUUCACUUCUUCUUUCUUUCCAUAUGUCAUUUAUUCAAUUUUUGACAAGAUUUACUAACUUGACCGUCAGAGGGUUUUCGGCCGACACCACACCUGUGUCCUCUUAAGAUCUUUUUAUGGUCAUUUUCCUUCAUUCUAUUUUUCUUGAGUUCUGCAGGAUUGUUGGUGGCCUACUUGAUCUAAUUUCUUGGUUGUAGAAUCUUCCAUCUACAUGUACUAAUUAAGAAAUACUGUUAGAAACUUUGUAGGUUUCUCUUUAUUUAGUUGAGAAUAAAUUACUAUCAACAAUAGGUUCGUACCUCUGCAUCACAUAAUAUCAACUCUUAUGAAGAUUUUAUAAAAUUCUCAUAAAGCAAAAAAUCAAAUCUUCAUUUGAUAUUCUUCAAAAACAACAAAAUAAUGUUAUUUUUGAAUAUUUAUGUAGUUAGGUUUUGUUUAUUUACGAAUAUUUUAUCAGAAUAAUUUAACGUUGUGCUUCUUUGGGAGCAAUAACAAUUUAAGUAUAUCGACUAAAUGUGUAUAAAUAAUAUGUGAUCAACUACAACAUGCAAAAUUGGAUACAAAUAUUGAAUAUGAAAAAUAUAAUGAUUAUAAUAUAUACAUAGCAAUCAAUUAAAGAAAACGUGUCAGUUUAUCAAUUGGAAUUGAUAGGUGGAUGCGUGCACUAGAAUAAUUAUUUAAUGUAAUCAUGCAAUUUGUGUAAUUGAAACAAUAUGCAAUUCUUAUAUAAACAACCAAUUUAAAAGAAUUUGGUUGUUGUUCACGAACAGUUUGUCACGAAUGGACCAUUGUAUUUUAAUCAUAAUCAUUGAAUUUAAGAACAAUGGAUUAUGAACAUUUUAUCCAAAUUUCACGAUGAUUGGACCAUGAAAUGUUAAGAUAUCAAAAUUUUGAUCAUAGAUAUUUAGAAUGUCCACAUUCUGCGAAUUUAUGGACAAUUGAUUUUGAAAUAAUAAUAUAAUUCUUCCAUAGUAUAAGAGUCAUAUUUUUUCAUGAGUAUGAAUCUAAUAUUCUUUUAGAGUAUUGAUUCAUACUUUUAUCUAGGAAGCAGCAACAAAAUAUCUUUUUAGAAGUUUUACAGAACUAUUCUUGAAUUUAACACAUACAAAUAUUAUACUUUACCAAGAAUAACUAUAAAAAAUUAUUUUUGAGCAUUGUUAUUGUGUAAAUUUGUGUUUCUUAAGGAGUCAAAAAAAAAAUCAAAUAAAACAUUCCUUUUCAAAUAUGCUAAAAUAUUUUUCUGAAAUAUUGAUCUAGAUUGUUUCUUCUUCAAGAAUAAUUAUAUAAUAUUCUUCUAAAAUAUUGUAUCAAAAUAUUGAAAAAACAUAUAUUUAACAAAUAAUUAUCUGUCACAAAUUGAUAUUGUCAAAAUAAUAUAACCAAAUCCAAUAACUAUACCAUUUUGUUAUGCAAUUCAAAGUUACGUGAAUAGUAACAUUUUUUAAGCUAGAAAAGAAGAGUUUCUUUGUAAUUGUAGUAGUCUAGAAUUACUUGACUUUCUUUGAUUGAAGGAAAAAUUAUUUUUUUCCUACCUUAACUAACUAGAGAUUUGUGAGUAGAAUGAGGAAUAAAUUUUACCAAUUCGAUUGGCUAGACCUUUACGCUGAUAAAGCAUUAUAAAAUAAAGAGAAAAAAAUAAAGAAAUCAAUACACUAUGUAUUUCAUUGAGAACCGAAAUCCCAUAUUCAUAAGAAAAAAUUAGGAUUGCAAGUGAUACAAUAGUCAUGAUAAUUAGGAUUUGAGGAGUAUAGUAAUCAUUCAAUAAUAAACAUAUAAUUUACAAUCUAUAAAAUAUAAUAUAUUAAAAUAUCGCAUCAAGUGAGAAUCAUUUUUGGACGAUUUUAACCUUAUUACAAUUCAAUUAUUUCAAUAAUACUUUACGUUUUCAAAUAUGUAAUAAAUACUAUGCUAUUAAUUCUCAAUUAUUUAACAUUUGCAUUAAUUUAAACUCAAUGAUCUUCACUUGAUAAAUCUUAAUUUAUGUGAGUCUAGAGUAUUGUAGAUGAAUUUUAUUUCUAUUCAUGCAUCUAAGUAUUUUAAUGGGUGUUUAAACUCAUGGAUUAACAAUUAAUUCUUAUGUGGCAAUUGUAGUUUAAAAAUGUUGCUCAUUUGUAAUAUUUAAUCAUCACAAAAAUUCGAAUUAUAGAAGUUGAAUUUCGAGAAUAAAAUUUUUGUCUUUUAAAUUUCUAUUCUAAAUUUUAUUUUCUUUAAUUCAUUUGAGACUCAUCAAAUUCUCUCAAUAAAUUGGUAUCAAAUAUUAAUUUUUUAACACUUAUAAAGUAUUUUAAAAAAAACAUGCAAUACAUGUUCAAGUCUAACUGGUAUAUAAAAUAUAACAUCAAAUGAGAAUCAUUGUCCAAAAAAUUUUGACCGUACUAUAAUUCAAUUAUUUCAAUAAUACCUUACUUUUAAUUUUUCAAUACGUAAUAAGUUUCAAUAAUACCUUACUUUUUGUUUUUCAAUACGUAAUAAAUACUACAAAAUUCUUAUUAUUUUAUGAAUUUUGUGCUAUUAAUUUUCAAUUAAUUAACCUUCAUGUUAAUCUAGACCCAAUAAAUCUUAAUCUAUAUGAAUCUAGAGAUAUUAUAGAUGAAUUAAUUUCUAUUCAUGGAUUUAGAAAUUUCAAUGGGUGUUUAAAUUCAUUUAUCAGAAAUUAAUUCUUAUAUAAGAAAUAUAGUAUAAAAAGUUUGCUCAUUUAUAGUAUUUCAUCAUCAUAAAAUUUGAAUCAUAGAAGUUGAGUUUUGCGAGUAUAAUUUUUGUCUCUUAAAUUUUUAUCCUAUUUUUUUUUUUUUUUUGGUUAGUUUUAGACGCUCAAAUCCUCACAACAAACUAGUAUCAAAUAUUACUUUGUAGUACUUAUAAUAUAUUUUAAAAUAACAUGUAAUGCACAUUCAACUUUGACUAGUUUAUAUAUAUAUAUUAGAGAGAGAGAGAGAGAGAGAGAGAGGGGUGUUAAAGCAUCAUCACAAAAAAAAAAAAAAAAAUGAUUUGGACGAAAAAAUUCAAAAAUCUUUAGAAUAAUGUGUAAUGUACAUUCAACUUUGACUAGUUUAUAUAUAUAUAUAUAACAUCAUUACACAAAAAAAAAUGGAUAUGGACGUAACGAUUCAAAAAUCUGACCAAUUUUAUACUUUCAUAUAAAAAUUGGAAGACCAAGAGAAAAAUAAAAUGAAAACUCAUGAAUGUACUAUUUAUUUUUUAUUUUUAUUUUUUUUACACUGAAGAACAUAAGUCUUUUUGGGAAAUAAUUCUUUGUCAUAUAAAUGUAAGUAUUAUUUUGGGCCCUCAUCAAUGCAAGCCCUUGGACAAUAGUUUACCCUGCUUGAAGUCGGCGCUGGCACUAUUUGUGCUCAAUAUUGCUAUUGAAUUAUAGUUUAAGUUUGAGCAUUUUAUAUUUAAGGAUUUGAUAUUUCUACAGUUGAAAAUAAACACGAGAAUUUUGAAUGUUUUAGUUUUUGAAGCACAAUAAUUGUCUCAAUUGUGUGGACAAUAAAAUCUCUAUAGAAUAUUAAUAGUGGGAUCUAAUAAAAUUAUACCUAAUUUAUUAAAUGAUUGAUAUAUGAUGUGAAGCAAUUUCUAAUAAACCCUUCUAAACGUGAAGGAUGCGAACACCUAUUUAAUUAUCCUACUAAAAACAAUAAAAUCAUGGACUAGCCUACUAACAAAGUGAAUGCUUUGACGAAUGUGCCUAGAGAAAAUGAUCAUGAUUUAUAUGUAUGUGAUAAUUGUAUUUUACAAAAUCUUUUUUUCCAAAAGGAAGAUUUUUAAGCAUCAGUCUUUAAAAAAUUAGAGAUGCUGUUGAGUCUCCGUUGAGUACAAAAAAAACAAAUUUAUAUGCAUAUUUUAAAAUUAUAAAAUGAAAACAAAAAAGAAUUUGUCAAAUAAAAUUCAUUAAAAUGUAUUAGAAAAUGUUACAAAUUUAAUCCAUUAUUAUUUUUAUUUUUAUUGGCCCCCAAUGAAUUUUGAAUAAAACUAUUAUUUUAUUCAAUAAAGAAGAUUAUUAAUUUUUAGUAAAUUGGCCAUAGUUGAGAUCGAUGAAUUUCGUUAUUUAAGCUAGAUUUUUUAUUUAUCAAACACUUGUUUAUAAAAAUUUAUUGUGCACUAAUUUUUUGAGCUACAAUAUGUUUUUAAUUUACGCCAUAUUAUUUUCCCGUUUUCAAAGUUUUCUAACAAUUAAGUCAUCUUGUAUUAACAAUGACUGUUUUUGCGACAUUACUGAAUAAAUGUCAGUAGUUGAGAUGAUAAUUUGGACCAAAAUGGAGGAUGAUUUUCUUACUAAUUGUAUGUCACUCUACAUCGAAUAUCUUCUUCUUCUUCUUUUAUUUUUUUAAUUAUUUUUUUAUUUUUGCAAAUCGAGAAUUGAUAAUUGAUUGAGCCCAGGAUAGUUCUUGGUCCUAAACCAGAAUUGUAGGUAUCCGAAUAGAAUCGAUUUUUUAAUAUAUUUUUUUAUUUAAAUUUAUAGGUUGUAUAAAGAAACGCAAAAUCCAAAACCCUAAUUUAGAUAGUAAUUACCCUAAAACUCUAGACUUUAUGUAUAAGAAAUCAAGAUUUGAAAUCAAGAUUGACUCCUUUUUUUUUUUUUUUUUUGGCCUCUCACCUCACAUCAUAUUGCUGCAUUUCAGAAGUUAGUAGGUGUUAUUCUUUGCAAUUUAAGCUUUUUAUGUAUCGAAAAAAUUUAAGUUAGGUUGUAGUGUAAGUUGAUUAAUCAAAACGUUCAUCCUUUGCAAUUCAAGUUUUUUUACUUUCUAGUAUUGUUUACAAACUUAAGUGAUUUUUCAAAUUUAUUUAUUUAUUUAUAAUGUAUGAAAUUGAACUUGAUAUAUUUAUAGUUUGGGCUGUCGUGUACCUUUUGGGAUAUCUUGAGUUCGUGAUUCUCGUUUGAAAUAAAUUUUUCCUUUUUUAUUCAAAUAUAGUGAAUUCAAUAUGUAGAUUGCAAUUUUUUGAUAUAAUACAGUUACGUAUCUAAUUAGUAUUUCUUAUAUUAAGAGUAGAAGAAUUUAAGCAAUAUUCAUAAUUAAAUUAAAUGCUCUAACAUGCCUUGCUUAUUAAUCGAAUAAGAUUUAUUAUAAAAAUAAUAUACUUGUAUAAGUAUAAAUACUUUAAAUAAUUUUCUAAAGAGAUAAGCAGCUAUUUGGCUCAACUGAGCCGGAAGAAUUCCCAAUGGCGUUAAUGCAUGACGAAUGAGCCGGCUCAUUUUUAUAGGUCAGCUUAACAUCUUCCAAGGUAAUAUCACUGCAUGGAUUUCCUUUGCUGCAGUCAAAUUUCACUGCAGUUUCUGUUGCUGAACUCCCAUGUAUGUCUUGAUAUGUUACAUCACUAAUCUUCACGCCUGAAACCUGAAAAAAU
RNAcentral lists this long non-coding RNA (19850 nucleotides) under Olea europaea (common olive). RNAcentral describes it as "long non-coding RNA (OEUR_LNC002306)". Lineage: Eukaryota; Viridiplantae; Streptophyta; Magnoliopsida; Lamiales; Oleaceae. The record is from RNAcentral.